AACGAACGCUGGCGGCAUGCCUAACACAUGCAAGUCGAACGAGACCUUCGGGUCUAGUGGCGCACGGGUGCGUAACGCGUGGGAAUCUGCCCUUGGGUUCGGAAUAACAGUUGGAAACGACUGCUAAUACCGGAUGAUGACGUAAGUCCAAAGAUUUAUCGCCCAAGGAUGAGCCCGCGUAGGAUUAGCUAGUUGGGGAGGUAAAGGCUCACCAAGGCGACGAUCCUUAGCUGGUCUGAGAGGAUGAUCAGCCACACUGGGACUGAGACACGGCCCAGACUCCUACGGGAGGCAGCAGUGGGGAAUAUUGGACAAUGGGCGAAAGCCUGAUCCAGCAAUGCCGCGUGAGUGAUGAAGGCCUUAGGGUUGUAAAGCUCUUUUACCCGGGAUGAUAAUGACAGUACCGGGAGAAUAAGCUCCGGCUAACUCCGUG
This 433-nucleotide ribosomal RNA is filed under the name uncultured bacterium. Its description in RNAcentral is "partial 16S ribosomal RNA". It matches the Rfam family "Bacterial small subunit ribosomal RNA", at positions 29 to 507 of the family's 1533-position model. The record is from RNAcentral.